Molecule: long non-coding RNA, 872 nt
Organism: Megalobrama amblycephala (Wuchang bream)
Lineage: Eukaryota; Metazoa; Chordata; Actinopteri; Cypriniformes; Xenocyprididae
Exons: 4
Source: RefSeq, a predicted model, not a curated record
CGCUACGCCUCAGACAUGUCCAGAAGCGCACACAUAACCAUCAGCAGUAAAAGAGGACAAACUGGCUUUGCUCUUCCACAAACAAAUCUAAAUUCAUAUAAAUGUUCCCAUACUGUUUAAAUGACUACGUCGUACACUAUUUUUCAGGUCGGAUUGCAGACCAGGAUAAUGGAGCCAUGGCCUAAACACCCAGAAACAAGCCACAGCAGAUGUAAAGAGUCAGAAAGAUUCGGACAGACACCUCACAAAGAUCAUGAGCUUGAGAGGAAAUCCAAUUGACAGAGUUUGAUUACCAGAGGAAGAGAGGGAGGAUGAGGAGCUGAGAGGCUGCUGGCAGAUGCUCAGGAGAGUGGCAGUGUGUGUGGAGAAGGUGCCAGGAGGACGUGUCACUUGUUGGCGAUUUGGAGCCGAGAGCUCCUACACUGCGCCAUUCUGUGGCCUGCUGCAUUUAACGGGAUUGGCUGAUGGACUGGGGACUGAGCCAUUAAUCUUUCUUCCCUCUUAUCCAAUUACAGCACCUAUAGCGGAGCAAAGCAAAGCAGUGAAAGCAGAGCGUUUGUGCCAACUGCCAGCGGCCACUCACAACAUAUAAUCACAGGGACAGAGUUUUACAAUUGAUACCAUCUAGAGGGAACGUAAAGGUACAGGUCACACCAAAAUGACAAUUUUGCCAUUAUUUACUCACCCUCAAGACUUUCCAAACUUGAAUGCUGUUAUUUUUUUCAGUGGAACAUAAAAGUAGAAGUUUUUGAAGAAUCUUCAGCUUUUUUCCAAACAACAACAGUUGUGACCACAUCCAUUAAAGGACUAGUUCACUUUAAAAUGAAAAUUACCAAGCCAUCCUAGGUGUAUACGACUUUCUUGUUUCAGAU